RNAcentral lists this ribosomal RNA (443 nucleotides) under uncultured bacterium. RNAcentral's name for it is "partial 16S ribosomal RNA". It matches the Rfam family "Bacterial small subunit ribosomal RNA", at positions 338 to 795 of the family's 1533-position model. The record is from RNAcentral.
CCUACGGGUGGCAGCAGUGGGGAAUAUUGGGCAAUGGGCGCAAGCCUGACGCAGCAACGCCGCGUGAAGGAAGAAGGCUUUCGGGUUGUAAACUUCUUUUGUCAGGGACGAAGCAAGUGACGGUACUUGACGAAGAAGCCACGGCUAACCACGGGCCAGCAGCCGCGGUAAUACGUAGGUGGCAAGCGUUAUACGGAUUUACUGGGUGUAAAGGGCGGGUAGGCGGGACUGCAAGUCAGAUGUGAAAACCACGGGCUCAACCUGUGGACUGCAUUGGAAACUGUAGUUCUUGAGUACUGGAGAGGCAGGUGGAAUGCCAGGUGUAGCGGUGAAAUGCGUAGAUAUUAGGAGGAACACUAGUGGCGAAGGCGGUCGGCUGGACAGCAACUGACGCUGAGGUGCGAAAGCGUGGGGAGCAAACAGGAUUAGAUACCCGUGUAGUC